CCCCAGGGGGGAAUGCAGUUCUCAGGCCCCGUUGCACUGGGACUGGUAAUGGUGCUGUUACCACCUUUAGGUCUGAAAGGUUGAGGGGGAGGAGUGGUAAAUGGAACCAGGAGAUGGGCUAUAUAGAAAGGGUGUGAGGUUGUGGAAGGCACCAGGAAUAAAUACAUAACAGGAGCACAAUACAUAUUUAUUGGUUAUAAUUUUGUAGUUUCAGAAGUCGUUCACAGAGUUGAGUUUAUGCUAUUGGUCUUGAUGCAUAUCAAGAAUUUAAAAUAUAUUUAAACUUGAAAGGGCAGUACAAGAGUAUAGCCUCUCCCUAGAUCCACCAGUUGUUAACAUUUUACCACAUGUAUUUUAUCUAAUUUGUCUUGCUGAAUCAUUUGAAAGUAAGUUGUGACAAAACGGCACUUCCUCCCUGUAUACUUAUUCAUCUCCUGUAUUCAUCUCCUUGGAAUAAGAAUUUUAUACAUGAAGCCACAAUGCCAUUGCUCCACCAGAGACAAUUAACAAUAAAUGAAUAACAUCUAACAUAGAUUUGUAGGAGAUAAAUUGCCCCUGUUGUUCCAGAAUAUCUUAUUAAACUUUUUCCUCAUCCAGGAUCUAGCCAAUGAGGUUUUUGUAUACAUUUUAAUCUGCUAAGUCCUCUGCGUUCCCCCCGCCCCCCACCACGACAUUGAACUUUUUGAAGUGUCCAAAUCCAUUUUACAAUGUCCCAUAUCCUGGAUAUUUUUCUGACUUUUUUAGUAGAUUUGGGUUAUACUUUUUGGUAGGAGUAUAACAGGCUGUCUCUUAUUCCCAUCUGACUCUG
This is a long non-coding RNA of Prionailurus viverrinus (fishing cat), 808 nucleotides long. RefSeq lists it as uncharacterized. The transcript is spliced from 3 exons. The record is from RefSeq and is a predicted model, not a curated record. NCBI's taxonomy places the organism in Eukaryota, Metazoa, Chordata, Mammalia, Carnivora, Felidae.